This is a long non-coding RNA of Carassius auratus (goldfish), 225 nucleotides long. RefSeq lists it as uncharacterized. NCBI's taxonomy places the organism in Eukaryota, Metazoa, Chordata, Actinopteri, Cypriniformes, Cyprinidae. The transcript is spliced from 3 exons. The record is from RefSeq and is a predicted model, not a curated record.
GCAUUUGCCCGAUAUAAUCCCCAGAUUGGAUACGUACAAGGGAUGUCCUAUAUAGCUGCUGUGCUCCUGAUGAUCCUGUCUGAGGAGGAGGCUUUCUGGGCUCUGGUUGCUCUGUUAGAGAAGCCCAAAUAUUUAUCCGAGCUCUUUGAUUCUUCUCUGGAGAAGAUUCAACAUCAAGCUUUGGUUUUUCAUCAGCUCCUGAAGCACAGGAAACCUCUGCUUUUU